RNAcentral lists this small RNA (212 nucleotides) under Arthrobacter sp. RNAcentral's name for it is "c-di-AMP sequence". It matches the Rfam family "c-di-AMP riboswitch aptamer (ydaO/yuaA leader)". From Rfam's summary of the family: This family represents a conserved RNA structure found upstream of the ydaO and yuaA genes in Bacillus subtilis and related genes in other bacteria. The ydaO/yuaA element is thought to act as a genetic "off" switch for the ydaO and yuaA genes in its native state. The record is from RNAcentral. Lineage: Bacteria; Bacillati; Actinomycetota; Actinomycetes; Micrococcales; Micrococcaceae. RNAcentral also lists the same sequence under 1 other name.
CCGGUCCAACAGCCUAACCCUGCCACUGGACCGCAGGUGCCACCGUUCGCGGGCAGGGGCGGAGGACCCAACAACCGGCAGCCCAGCUGCCUUGGGGUGAAGCCUCCGAGCACCACAGGAACAUCCAGGACUGGAUAUCCCUGUGCGUCGGGGGCCGAGUUUCUCUACUCGAAUCCGACAGCUAACUUCGCAGGCUUGUAGAGAGGGAACCA